AUGCUCCGGAACCCGACGAGCGCAGGCAGGCGGCCGCAACCGCACCCACACCCGACGAGUCCGCCGCUCACGACAACGGCCGCCGGAGCAGCAGCUCAACACCAUCGUCCUCCCGCAUAUGUCACCCCCGAGCUGCCGCCCGCGAGCCACCACCACCACCGCCCCAAACCUCGUCCAUUCGCCCUCCGGUCCGCAGCGCAAGCCAUGACGCCCCUGACGCGGCGGCGGCUGCUGACCACGCUGCUCUGCCUGUGCGCGCUCGCCGCCCCGGCGCGGUCCCAGAACGCGAGCGCCACGCCGGCGCCGGCCAGCGUGGAGGGGUUCAACUGCUCCGCCAACGGCACCUACCCUUGCCAGGCCUACGCGCUGUACCGGGCGGGCUUCGCGGGGGUGCCGCUCGACCUCGCGGCGGAGGGCGACCUCUUCGGCGUCAGCCGCUUCAUGCUCGCGCACGCCAACAACCUGUCCACCUCGGCCGCGCCGGCCGCGGGGCAGCCGCUGCUCGUGCCGCUCCAGUGCGGCUGCCCCUCCGGGUCGCCCAACGCCUACGCGCCCACGCAGUACCAGAUCAGCUCCGGCGACACCUUCUGGAUCGUCUCCGUCACCAAGCUGCAGAACCUCACGCAGUACCAGGCCGUGGAGCGCGUCAACCCCACGGUGGUGCCCACCAAGCUCGAGGUCGGGGACAUGGUCACGUUCCCCAUCUUCUGCCAGUGCCCCACCGCCGCCCAAAACGCCACCGCGCUCGUCACCUACGUCAUGCAGCAGGGCGACACCUACGCCUCCAUCGCCGCCGCCUUCGCCGUCGACGCGCAGUCCCUCGUCUCCCUCAACGGGCCCGAGCGGGGCACGCAGCUCUUCUCCGAGAUACUAGUGCCGCUCCGUCGGAAGGUGCCGCAGUGGCUGCCGCCAAUCGUGACCCGCAACGACGUGUCGGCCACGCCGCCGUCCCCGCCGCCUACCGCGACGCCCGGUCCGAGCGACGUGGCCGACAACCGAGACGGGGUGGUCACCGGGCUGGCCGUCGGGUUGGGCGUGGUCGGUGGGCUGUGGCUGCUGCAGCUGCUGCUCCUGGGCUGCCUGUGGAGGCGGCUCAAGUCGAACGGGCGGCGAGGGGACGCGGUCGCGAGCGGCGACGGCGGCAGGUCUGGCAAGAGCGCGUCCGGCUCCGGCGGCGUGGGAGGGGAGAGAUUCCUAGUGAGUGACAUAUCCGAGUGGCUGGACAAGUACAGGGUGUUCAAGGUGGAGGAGCUGCAGCGCGGCACCGACGGUUUCGACGACGCGCACCUCAUCCAGGGCAGCGUGUACAAGGCCAACAUCGGCGGCGAGGUCUUCGCUGUGAAGAAGAUGAAGUGGGAUGCCUGCGAGGAGCUCAAGAUCCUGCAGAAGGUGAACCACAGCAACCUGGUGAAGCUGGAGGGGUUCUGCAUCAACACGGCGACGGGCGACUGCUUCCUGGUGUACGAGUACGUGGAGAACGGGUCCCUGGACCUGUGCCUGCUGGACCGCGCCCGCGCGCGGCGGCUGGACUGGCGCACGCGCCUCCACAUCGCGCUGGACCUCGCCCACGGCCUCCAGUACAUCCACGAGCACACCUGGCCGCGCGUGGUGCACAAGGACGUCAAGAGCAGCAACGUCCUCCUGGACGCCCGCAUGCGCGCCAAGAUCGCCAACUUCGGCCUCGCCAAGACCGGCCACAACGCGGUCACCACCCACAUCGUGGGCACGCAGGGCUACAUCGCGCCCGAGUACCUCGUCGACGGCCUCGUCACCACCAAGAUGGACGUGUUCGCCUACGGCGUCGUCCUGCUCGAGCUCGUGUCCGGCCGCGAGGCCGCCGGGGACGGCGGCGGCGGCGACCUGCUGCUGGCCGACGCGGAGGAGAAGGUGUUCCGCGGCCGGGAGGACAGGCUGGAGGCGCGCGCGGCCGCGUGGAUGGACCCCGUGCUCGCCGACCAGAACUGCCCGCCGGGGAGCGUGGCCACCGUGAUGGGCGUGGCCAGGGCGUGCCUGCAGCGGGACCCGGCCAAGCGGCCGAGCAUGGUGGACGUGGCCUACACCCUGUCCAGGGCGGACGAGUACUUCGCGGACUACUCCGGCGAGAGCGUGUCCGUGGAUGGCAGCGGCGAGAUCGCCGCGCGGUGA
Molecule: ribosomal RNA, 2145 nt
Filed under: Triticum aestivum (bread wheat)
Lineage: Eukaryota; Viridiplantae; Streptophyta; Magnoliopsida; Poales; Poaceae
Description: partial small subunit ribosomal RNA
Source: RNAcentral